UUGGAUGUCAUGGUUUUCCUGUUUGUCUCUAGAUAACACUUUUUGUUAAAGAAUUUAAAGCACUAUCCACACACCAUCUUUAUAAAAGCUUUAUACAUAAACGUGGUAUCUUUUUACCAGCAGUUUGAAGAUUUUCCAACAUGUAUCUCCAGGCCUCUUUUGUCCGGCUCUUUUCUCAGACACACUGGCCCCCUUCCCCACAAAGGCACUUGUCUUAGGCAAACAUACUCCAUUCCUGACUUCAUAGCUUCCCAGUGCCAUCAUUGCAGCUAGUCUGUCAAUCAUCUGCCUCCUCAUCCUGCAGUGCUACCCUCUCUGAUUGAUGGAAACAAGUUUUUCUUUAUCAUAACAAGUCAUGUAAGGCACAUAAAGUAAAUCCCAAGGUAAAAAGUAUUGUUGUGGAGUAUUACUUCUGACUGCCCCUAUUCAUACACAUGCCUCUGAACCAGAACAAGAAGGACAAUUAAGAAAACAACACCACCACCUGGUUCCCAUUUAAAAAAGAAAAAUCGGACUGGAGAUUUGCAAUGCUGACCUCCUGAGACGGAAAGUCAAAGAAAAAGAGAGAAAGACAGAAAAAGUGAGUGAGAGAGAGAACAGAAAAAGAGCAAGAUUUUAUUAAUUGUGGCAUUACCAUGUGUAAGCCGGAGCAUAGACCAUUGAUGCAGAUGCCUGACUUGCUGAUCCAGCCUGUGUGUCAGUACUGAGACCAACUUCAUCUUUCUGAAAUCACUCCGGGGUCAUGUCCAGCUCUUAGUAUUCUUUUUCUGAUGUGGAGGCAGAUGCCAAGAAGUUCUGAAUUAACAAGAAAAUCGUGACUAAAGGAUGGGGAGCAGAACCAGUAAAGUUUACAAAUGGAUAUUCUUAGACCCAGAAGAAAGAAAGGAGAAAAAAAACCCUUUAAUAUCUCCAGUGAUGAAUCCUUCUGAUAUAAUUAAUCUGUCAUAGUUUAACUGUUCUGGCAAAACUACUCUGCACAUGUUAACAUUUUCCUCUGUGUGAUUUAAGGCACUAGUUAUAUACAUUUAAUUUGCAUAAGUGAAUGUAUUCAUAUAACUGUUUAUGGAAUGAUAGAUUAAUAUUCAAAUACGUUCUUUUUGAAGUUUCUUUGGUAUUCUUAAGAUAUAAAAUUUUGACAUGUUAAAAUAUAAAAGAUGAUUUUAUGCUUUGUUGAAACUAUUGGAAUGAAAUAAAAAAGCAAUAACAAGUCAUAGUUCUUGGCUUAUAAUGAAGAAAGUAAAGCUGGUUUUGAAUAAUUUACAUUUUUACAUAAAAGUCAAAUGUUGUAAUAAUUAUAUUUGUUUCUUUUGUGAAAAAUGCAACUAAAUGAAUAUCCUCAUUCAAUUAGAACCCAUCAAACACGUGAACUAAACUUGAUGGCCUAUUACUUGGUGUUCAAGUUUGUGGAAUGCCUGAAGUUUGUCCUUGUGUAAACCAGCUAUUAAAUGCAAAUUUAGGUCAGAUUUAUGAGAAUACGUAUUUCC
Molecule: long non-coding RNA, 1484 nt
Filed under: Equus caballus (horse)
Lineage: Eukaryota; Metazoa; Chordata; Mammalia; Perissodactyla; Equidae
Description: lncRNA (ENSECAG00000046053.1)
Source: RNAcentral